AAGGAGUGAAGCCUUCUAAGUACAGUACCUGGCACAACGAAUUGUCAAGCAAAUGGCAAAUCUUCUCUGCAGAGGGGAACUGAGACCCAGUACUCACAAUCCAUUCUGGAGUCUCCUCAUAAUCCUGAAGAGGGAAGCCCAGAGGAAAUCAUCUGGUCUAACCAUAAAAUCAUCAAUACUGAGAAAUUAAAAGGGGAACAUGUCAGGCCUCACUCUUUCUGUAUUGGAUUUCAAGAGUAUUGUCCUUGAGGGAAAGCCAUCUCCUUCUUGACACCAUGGCUACCCUUAGACCCCUCGUGAAGCCCAAGAUCAUCUAAGAUGGACCAAGAAGUUUAUCCUUCACCAGUCAGACUGACAUAUCAAAAUUAGAUGUACGCAUAUAGCAGCAACCCAGAGGCAUUGACAACAGGGUGGGGAGAAAAAUCAAAGGCGAGACCUUGAUCCCCAACAUUGGUUGUGGGAGCAAAAAGAAGCAAAACACAUGCUCCCCAGUGGCUUCCAAAAAUUCCUGUUCCACGAUGUCAAAGAGCUGGAAGUGCUGCUGAUGUGCAACAAAUCUUACUGUGCUGAGAUUGCUCAACAUGCUUCUCCAAGAACGGUUAAAGCCACUGUGGAGAGAGUAACCCGACAGCCCAGCAGAGUCACUAGUCCCAAUGCCAGGCUGCACAGCAAGAAAAAUUAAUAGACAGCUCAUGUACACAUUUUAUUUGUGUUAAAUAAAACCAUAAAUACUCUGUCA
This 739-nucleotide long non-coding RNA is filed under the name Homo sapiens (human). RNAcentral describes it as "non-protein coding lnc-RNF13-6:6". Lineage: Eukaryota; Metazoa; Chordata; Mammalia; Primates; Hominidae. The record is from RNAcentral.